UGAAGCGGCGGGGCUUUCGUCUCCGCCGCUACUACUUCCGACUUUUAAA
Molecule: small RNA, 49 nt
Filed under: Arabidopsis thaliana (thale cress)
Lineage: Eukaryota; Viridiplantae; Streptophyta; Magnoliopsida; Brassicales; Brassicaceae
Description: ATSL114580
Source: RNAcentral